CCCCCCAAAAAAAAAACACAACAACAACUGUUUGCACUAGACUGUCUAGUAGCCAAAUUAAUCAUUUCAGUGCUGUAAUCCAGCACAUCACCUCUAAUGGGUCACCGGUACCUGCAUCUACUACGCUUAUCCAUUGCUUAACCGUAUUUUUUCCAAUACAACAGAUGAAGUUUGCUGGGCAUGUGAUGAGAUUUUAUAUAUAUUCCUCAUUCUAUUCUCGAGUCCUCUAUCAGAGUCCUGGGAGUGUCAG
Pelobates cultripes (western spadefoot toad) is the source of this 250-nucleotide non-coding RNA. The record is from the annotation of a GenBank genome assembly. NCBI's taxonomy places the organism in Eukaryota, Metazoa, Chordata, Amphibia, Anura, Pelobatidae.